ACGCAAACAGUAACUCCGUUGUGGGCGGGCUAACCAGUCGGAACUCCCAAGCAAGGCGAAACAAAAGACUAUUCAGCAGGAAUCAACUGGUGUUACUACAUAUUGGUACAAACAUCAGUAGCGCGGAAACGUUCUUUUUAUUUGAUGGUGCAAAAUGGCAGUUGCCUCUGUAACGGUGCAUAUCUUAAACGUUUUACAUAGUAAGUGAUUAAUAAGUUAAAAAAUAAAUGGUAACUAAAAACGUGAGUUUAGUGAGAGGAGAAAAAAAAAAAUUAGUGUUACUAAAUGUGAACAUUCCUGAGAUAUUAUUUCAAACUAACUUCCUUAUCCACGAUGUUCUUAAUUCAAAGAACUCCGUGGCUGUAAAUAUGAUGUAACUCGACCAAGGGUUCUGCAAUCAAUUUAAAUCAGUUUAGAUUGCGGAUUGGAAAAAGGGAUUAUUAUACAGCUUCAAAAGAUGCUCGCUACAACCACAAACUAAGCUAGUGGACUUCUAGACUGUAGUUGUCCACCUGUUGGAUCAACUCAAAGGAAAGCUACGAUGUCUUGGAUUCUAGUUUUACUUUUCAUAGAGUACAAACUCCAUUUCUUGGAUGCUUUGUCCAGAGAAGGGCCUACGUUCGUUACUGAACCUCCAGGUAUCGCUAACUUUGCCAAUGAUACAGGAACAGUUAUUCCUUGUUCUGCUCAAGGCAACCCUCCACCUGCAGUCACCUGGACGAAGGAAAACGAAGAAAUAGUAACUAACGUUCCUGGUCUUAGAUAUGUUCGGCCGGAUGGUUCACUGGUUUUCACACAAUUUGGUGCGAAGGAGUACCGACAAGACGUUCAUGACACCACCUAUCGAUGUGUUGCCUCCAAUGCCGUAGGGACUGUUGGAAGUAGAAUAGUUCGAGUAAAAGGCGUUGUUCUUCAGAGCUUUCGUGUAGAAGUAAAUGAUGACUACGUUGUUUCUGGAAACACCGGAGUUCUGAGAUGUCGCAUUCCUGAUCUAGUUAAAGAAUACGUCACAGUGACGUCAUGGCUUCAGGACGAAACUUUCAUUAUCCGGGGUUCAACAACCGCAAGUAGGUUUAGUGUCUUUCCAAGCGGAGAGUUUCAUAUUCGAAGAGUAACUGCUUCAGACGUUCGCAAGACGUUUCGUUGUCAAGUGCAACAUCGCCUAACAGGAGAAACCCAGACAAGCUCAUCCUCUGGAAGGCUCGUAGUUACAGACGCAGUAAACAUGCCUCCAAGGUUAACAGAUUUUAAACGACACGUGUUGGCGGUUGAGGGAGAAAUGGUUGAAAUUCCAUGUGCUGCGCAAGGUUCUCCUGUCCCUACGUACGAGUGGUUCAAGCACGCACAUGGUGGAUAUGAUAGGCUAACAGGUGGAAAGACGAUUACUUUACUGGAUGGAACAUUGGUAAUACACAAACCGACUGCUGAAGACACUGGAAAGUAUCGCUGUGUGGUGAGGAACAACCUGGGAUCUGAAAGUUCUGAUACCGAGCUGGUUGUGUCAGCACCCUUGUCUGUCAAGAUUUAUCCUCGAUACCAGAUUGUAGAUGUUGGAAAAACAGCGUCGUUUAACUGUAAUUACUCUGGAUACCCGAUCUUAUCGAUAGAUUGGAAGAAAGACAACAUGCCUCUACAGUGGAACGAUAGAGCUCAUCUAACUGGAGGUAACGGGCUUCGAAUUUUCCCAGUAGAGAGGCAAGAUAAAGGAAUGUAUCAGUGUUUUGUCCGUAAUCAACUAGGUACAGCUCAAGUAGCAUCUGAACUCAGGAUUGGUGAUGACGAACCGAUUUUUCAAGAAGUGUUCCAGGAACAAACGCUUCAACCAGGAUCUUCACUAUCACUGAAAUGCAUUUCUCAAGGUAAUCCUUUACCUCAAGUCACGUGGUUACUGGAUGGUAUGUCCCUUCCUACCAAUCCUCGCUUCUCCUUAGGUGAUUACGUUACGGAAGACCAAACAGUAACAAGUUAUGUGAAUAUCUCCAGUGUACGGCCAGAUGAUGGGGGAGGUUACCAGUGUAUAGCUAAGAACGAUGUAGGUGAGGUUCGACAUAUGGAGAAAAUACGGGUGUAUGGACCCCCGUUCAUCAGACCCAUGAAAAAUAAAUCUGUUUUAACUGGCGAGAUUCUAGUGAUUCAGUGUCCAGUGGGUGGCUACCCAAUUGAGUCGAUUAUCUGGGAAAGAGAGGGCUCUAGAUUACCAUACAACCACAGACAGAAAGUUUAUACCAACGGCACCUUGAUUAUACAAAAUGUUGAUCGAACCACUGAUGAAGGAAGAUAUGUCUGCCAGGCAAAAGAUAAGGAGGGUAUGACGGCCGAAAAUAGCAUUUUCAUAUCUAUUUUAGUUUUUCCAGUUCCGCCUACUUGGAAGAUCGAACCACAGAAUAUUGCCGUUACCAAAGAUGAAGACGCCAAACUUGAUUGCCAAGCUGAAGGUUUUCCUGCACCAAACCUACGCUGGACCAAAGCUAAAGGCACUGAAGCACCGGGGCAAUACUCUACCAUUAGUAGUAACUCCCGUCUUCAUGUUUAUAACAACGGAACCCUCGUCAUCUACAAGUCAAAGAAAGAGGACGCUGGGUUCUACUUGUGUGAGGCAACCAAUGGUGUUGCACCUUCAAUCAGCAAGGUUGUCAGACUGGACAUAAAUGAACCACCUCAUUUCAGCAACAAGUUCCAAGUGCAAACGAUUCGAAAAGGUCUUGAAAUUACCUUGAAGUGUGAAGCGGAAGGAGAUAAUCCAAUGACUAUCUUGUGGCUAAAGGAUAAGCAACGUUUAGACGUUCGAGAAUCGAAAAGGCACCUUCUCAGAGAAACAACGUUGUCUGCCAGUAAAACGUCGCAUCUCUACAUCAUUGAUCCAGACAGAAGCGAUUCAGGAAUUUUCAGCUGCCUAGCUUCGAAUGCCUUUGGUCACGAUGAAACCAAUAUACAACUUAUUGUACAAGAACCUCCGGAUAAUCCUCAAAGUGUCAAAGUAGGAUCUUUCACGAGCAGAAGUGUCACGUUGUCAUGGUUACCACCGUUCACGGGAAAUAGUCCUAUAGUGGAAUACGUUGUGCAAUGGAAGAAGAAAGAAGAUAAGUGGCAGCAGCACUCGUCAAAUUCGACAGUUGGAGGAAAUGAAACCACUUUUAUUGUACUAAACUUACUUCCUUUCACGACUUAUGCCUUUCGAGUAUUUGCUGCCAACAGGCUAGGAACAAGUCAAGCUAGUCAAGUGGUACAUGUUAAAACAAAUGAAGAAGCUCCUGGAGGACCCCCUGUUCAUGUUGAAGCUCAAGCUACUGGUGCCCAGUCAAUAAAAGUAAUGUGGAAGUCUCCAGAGGAGCACCUUCAUUAUGGAACCAUAAGAGGUUAUUACGUUGGAUAUAAGUUAGCAGGAUCUGUGGACACCUACGUCUAUCAGACAUUAAAAGUCAAAGACUUGGGGUUUCAAGAAGAAAGUCAUCUAACGAACCUAAGACGUUAUACAAAAUAUGCUAUUGUUGUUCAAGCAUUUAACGACAAAGGUACAGGUCCGGCUUCAGAAGAAACGACAGUACGAACUUUAGAAAAUGAUCCCCCAUUCCAACCAUCUUUAAAACUAUUAGCUACCACAUCGUCUACAGUUCAGUUUUUCGUGAUGAGCAAAGACCGUUUGACAAAUAACGCGUUAUCAGGAUUCUUUCUCUACUACAAAGAGGACAGAACAGAUUGGAGUAAAGUAAGAAUUCCUCCUGACACCAGUGAGUACAAAGUCACAAAUCUAAAAUGUGGUACUCGAUACCAGUUUUAUAUAGAAGCCUUUAACUCCGCAGGAAAAGGAGAACCGAGCAAAACUCUUACAGUUAAAACCAAAGGAAUGGCUCCAAUAGCUCCAAGUAAACAAUUACUUCUCUCGGUAAACUCCACCUGGGUUAACAUCCACCUAGCGACCUGGGACGACGGGGGCUGUCCCAUUAGUUACUUCUCUCUCCGAUAUAAAGUUGAAACGGAUAACACGUGGAGGAUUCUUUCUGACCACGUUGAUCCUUUACGAAAGGGACAUAGUGUUAUCAAAUCUCUCCUACCUGACUCGCUACCGUUUGCAGGUUACUGCUAAAAGUCCCGCGGGAAUCACAGAGGCUGAAUAUGGAUUUUUAACUCUGCCAGUUUCUUCAGGCUCAGCUGCUCCAGCGGAAAUCAUGGAAAAGGAACAUAUCCCACUGUACCUUGAUCUCAACAUUAUUUUACCAGUAAGCGUGUCCUUAAUGGUGGUUGUCAUUAUUAUUACCACAGUCUACGUCAUUUUGCGAAGACAAUAUCCUCAUGAGGGCUCUAAUAGUGGAAGCACUACUUACUCUAGAAGAAAGCUCCAGCCUCAAGAAACGCUCCAGAUGAUGAACGUAAACCGAACCUCAAAAAGUCUUGGUCCUUUGGUCCAGGGUACCACAGUUUAUUAUCCCGAGCCAUAUGCUACAACAAGGUUGUCCACUCAAGAAGAAAACGACCUGAUUGAAGCAGGCCGAGACGAACCUUUAUAUGCUACAGUGAAACGAACCCCUAGACCCCCGAGAUCUGGCGUCCAUAUCUAUCACUAUCCAGUUCAGGGUUCUUCUGAUGGUAAUGCUGACGUCUGUCCCUCAACAAGCCAAUGGAAAGAGACCACAAUAGAGUUUAGGAUUGAUGAACCUCCAUCAGCCAAGUCUCUUUCUGAAUCUCCGAAACGCAAAUUGUCAAAACGAUUAAGAAAAUUGUCAGGAAAUUGAAGAAAAUCACAGACAUUCUACGUAUGGUCAUUAAAAGCUGAUCAGAACGUCACUAAAAUGGGAUUAGAAAUGGACGUACGUGUUAUGCGACACUGAACUGAAACUAUAUGGAUACUAAGAUCGUUUUUUUUUGUUUUUUUUUGUUACGUUUAAUAUACGUUUUCAUUCCAUUUUAUCCUUCAUUGUCCUGAGAGAUUUUAAGAAGACCUGAAGUAGAAUAUAAACAUGUGACUCAGCUUACGGGAGGAAUUUCUUCAAGUUCCAGUAAAACCAUAUCAAUGUGUUAAGUCAUGAUGUUUUGUAUAUAAAUUGUUUCUCUGCACUUUCUAAAUUUGUUGUCAACGGAGAUAAUAAAAUUGUAAAAUUUUUCAA
Limulus polyphemus (Atlantic horseshoe crab) is the source of this 5102-nucleotide RNA transcript. It is a transcript of the gene named Down syndrome cell adhesion molecule homolog, with no coding region annotated. The record is from RefSeq and is a predicted model, not a curated record. NCBI's taxonomy places the organism in Eukaryota, Metazoa, Arthropoda, Merostomata, Xiphosura, Limulidae. The transcript is spliced from 25 exons.